CUGCCUCCGUAGCCAAAUCCUGGUCUCUGGCCUUCGGCCCCCUGCAAGAGAAGACCACGGAGCUCAACCUCCACCCGCGGUGCUGGGCACGCUGCUUGAGCCACUGGGAGCUGCCACCAGGGCCCCGGGGAAGGGCCCAGGCCCCGGACUGGACUGGGAACAGUUGCUUACCUUCACGCUGUGGGGUGUUCAAGAGAAGAUUAGCAAACAUCAAGCAAAUCAAGGUAAGGAGGCUCCUGCCUACACGGGUUUGGAGGACUCGGACCCUGGGGGGCUGUGCGCUGUGUAGGUGCCGGUCCCCGGAGGCCCCGGCCUGCGCCUUUGCUGGGGGCUCCUUUUGCUGAUUGAUUU
RNAcentral lists this long non-coding RNA (351 nucleotides) under Homo sapiens (human). RNAcentral's name for it is "HSALNT0253476". The record is from RNAcentral. Lineage: Eukaryota; Metazoa; Chordata; Mammalia; Primates; Hominidae.